GAAAGUAAAGAAGGGCGCAUGGCGGAUGCCUUGGCUCUCGGAGGCGAUGAAGGACGUGAUAAGCUGCGAUAAGCUUUGGGGAGGUGCAAAUGACCUUUGAUCCAGAGAUUUCCGAAUGGGACAACCCAAUAUCUUGAAGAGGUAUUAUCCAACGUUGUUGGAGGCUAACGCAGGGAACUGAAACAUCUUAGUACCUGCAGGAAAAGAAAAUAAACAAUGAUUCCCCCAGUAGUGGCGAGCGAACGGGGAACAGCCCAAACCAUCCAUGUUACGGCAUGGGUGGGGUUGUAGGACUACGCCGUUGCAUGAAGACAUCAGAGAAGAACUUUCUGGAAAGAAAGACCAUAGAGCAUGACAGUUGCGUAUUCGAAUGUUGUCGAAGCAUAGUAGUAUCCUGAGUAGCGCGGAGCACGAGGAAUUCUGCGUGAAUCUGCCGGGACCAUCCGGUAAGGCUAAAUACUCCCGAGAGACCGAUAGCGAACCAGUACCGUGAGGGAAAGGUGAAAAGCACUUCGAACAGAAGAGUGAAAUAGUUCCUGAAACCGUGCGCCUACAAGCGGUCGGAGCUCGUUAAUGAGUGACGGCGUGCCUUUUGCAUAAUGAACCUACGAGUUGCCUUUGCCGGCAAGGUUAAGUGUGACGACACACGUAUCCGAAGCGAAAGCGAGUCUGAACAGGGCGUAUAGUCGGCAGUGGCAGACGCGAAACCAAGUGAUCUACCCUUGGCCAGGUUGAAGGCUGGGUAACACCAGCUGGAGGACCGCACCAAUAAGCGUUGAAAAGCUUCUGGAUGAGCUGAGGGUAGGGGUGAAAGGCUAAUCAAACUUGGAGAUAGCUCGUACUCCCCGAAAUGCAUUUAGGUGCAGCCUUGCGGGUUACUGAUGUGAGGUAGAGCGACUGAUAAGAUGCGAGGGCUUCACCGCCUAUCAAGUCUUGACAAACUCCGAAUGCGCAUCAGUUCUACCGCAGGAGUGAGGGCAUGGGUGCUAAGGUCCGUGCCCGAGAGGAGAAGAAUCCGGACCACCUGCUAAGGUCCCGAAAUGACAGCUAAGUUAAACUAACGAAGUCUGACUGCUAAGACAGCUAGGAUGUUGGCUUGGAAGCAGCCAUUCAUUUAAAGAGUGCGUAACAGCUCACUAGUCGAGGAGUCGGGCGUGGAUAAUAAUCGGGUAUUAAGUUGUCUACCGAAGCAGUGGGAUCAUUGAUAUGAUCGGUAGGGGAGCAUUCCAGUCAGCGUCGAAGGCGUACCGUGAGGUAUUCUGGAGCGUCUGGAAAAGCAAAUGUAGGUAUAAGUAACGAUAAAGGGGGCGGGAAACCCCCUCGCCGAAAGACUAAGGUUUCCUGAUCAACGCUAAUCGGAUCAGGGUCAGUCGGGUCCUAAGGCUCAGCCGAACGGCGAUGCCGAUGGCAGAAACGGUUAAUAUUCCGUUACUACCUUCAGGAGUGACGUGGAGACGCAGUAGUGACAGUGCCGCCAUCUGACGGAAUAGAUGGUUGAAGGGUGUAGGAGUCGAUCAUGGCAGGCAAAUCCACCAUGAGAUCCGAACCUGACAGUAUGCCGCGUCCUUCGGGACAAGGCAAUAGUGCGCGUAAGCAUGCUGCCGAGAAAAUCCGCUAAACUUAAUCCUGCAGGUACCCGUACCGCAAACGGACACACGUAGUCGGGAUGAAUAUUCUAAGGCGCUUGAGUGAUUCACGGUUAAGGAACUAGGCAAACUGACCCUGUAACUUCGGGAUAAAGGGUCCCUACCCUUUUAUGGGAGGGCGCAGAGAAUCGGUCCAGGCAACUGUUUAACAAAAACACAGGGCUGUGCCAAAUCGAAAGAUCCAGUAUACAGCCUGACACCUGCCCGGUGCUGGAAGGUUAAGAGGAGAUGUCAUCGAUAAGAGAAGCGUUGAAUUGAAGCCCCAGUAAACGGCGGCCGUAACUAUAACGGUCCUAAGGUAGCGAAAUUCCUUGUCGGGUAAGUUCCGACCUGCACGAAUGGUGUAAUGAUCUGGACGCUGUCUCAACCGUGAGCUCAGUGAAAUUGUAGUAUCGGUGAAGAUGCCGAUUACCCGCGAUGGGACGAAAAGACCCCGUGAACCUUUACUAUAGCUUAUCAUUGAAUCUGGGCACGUGAUGUGUAGGAUAGGUCGGAGGCUUUGAAGCAGGUACGCCAGUAUUUGUGGAGCCGCUGUUGAAAUACGACCCUUUAUUUGUUUGGAUUCUAACCCGUGGAACGGGGACAUUGAUUGGUGGGUAGUUUGACUGGGGUGGUCGCCUCCAAAAGCGUAACGGAGGCUUCUAAAGGUGCCCUCCGGCCGAUUGGUAACCGGCCUUAGAGUGUAAUGGCAUAAGGGCGCUUGACUGGGAGACUGACAAGUCGAUCAGGUAGGAAACUAGAGCAUAGUGAUCCGGUGUUUCCGUAUGGAAGGGACAUCGCUCAAAGGAUAAAAGGUACUCCGGGGAUAACAGGCUGAUC
This 2465-nucleotide ribosomal RNA is filed under the name human gut metagenome. RNAcentral describes it as "bacterial LSU rRNA". It matches the Rfam family "Bacterial large subunit ribosomal RNA", at positions 1 to 2487 of the family's 2925-position model. The record is from RNAcentral.